UACAGGGGGGGCAAGCGUUGUUCGGAUUUACUGGGCGUAAAGGGCGCGUAGGCGGUCAGCACAAGUCAGUUGUGAAAUCUCCGGGCUUAACUCGGAAAGGUCAACUGAUACUGUGCGACUAGAGUGCAGAAGGGGCAACUGGAAUUCUCGGUGUAGCGGUGAAAUGCGUAGAUAUCGAGAGGAACACCUGCGGCGAAGGCGGGUUGCUGGGCUGACACUGACGCUGAGGCGCGAAAGCCAGGGGAGCGAACGGG
RNAcentral lists this ribosomal RNA (254 nucleotides) under uncultured bacterium. RNAcentral's name for it is "partial 16S ribosomal RNA". It matches the Rfam family "Bacterial small subunit ribosomal RNA", at positions 524 to 776 of the family's 1533-position model. The record is from RNAcentral.